ACGCAUUAGGGAUAGCAGCGGCAUCCUUUUUUUUUGCGCUUCGACAAACUCAGCAUGACAAACAAAAAAGAUAAAGCGCAUAGCCCGACCACGC
This 94-nucleotide small RNA is filed under the name Flavobacterium haoranii. RNAcentral's name for it is "Flavobacterium sp. LQY-7 Flavo-1 RNA". It matches the Rfam family "Flavo-1 RNA". Lineage: Bacteria; Pseudomonadati; Bacteroidota; Flavobacteriia; Flavobacteriales; Flavobacteriaceae. The record is from Rfam by way of RNAcentral.